Molecule: ribosomal RNA, 2071 nt
Filed under: human gut metagenome
Description: bacterial LSU rRNA
Rfam family: Bacterial large subunit ribosomal RNA
Source: RNAcentral
CAGACCCGAAACCGGGUGACCUAUCCCUGAUCAGGUUGAAGUGGAGGUAAAGCUCCAUGGAGGACCGAACCAGACGUCUGUUGAAAAAGGCGGGGAUGACUUGUGGAUAGGGGAGAAAUUCCAAUCGAACCCGGAGAUAGCUGGUUCUCCUCGAAAUAGCUUUAGGGCUAGCCUCAUGGAUCAUUGAUGGGGGUAGAGCACUGAAUGUGCGCGGGGGCCACAAAGCCUACCAAACGCUAUCAAACUACGAAUACCAUACAAUGCAGACCAUGGGAGUCAGUCCGCGAGAGAUAAGUUCCGCGGGCAAAAGGGGAACACCCCAGAUCAACCGCUAAGGUCCCCAAGUUCACGUUAAGUGGAGAAGGAUGUGGAAUUGCACAGACAACCAGGAUGUUGGCUCAGAAGCAGCCACACAUUUAAAGAGUGCGUAAUAGCUCACUGGUCGAGUGAUUGUGCGCCGAAGAUGUCCGGGGCUAAACGUGACACCGAAGCGAUGGGUGCGUCUGAAGAAGAUGCGCGGUAGAGGAGCAAUGUGCAGAGGCAGAAGCCGUAUCGAGAGGCACGGUGGACACUGCACAAGAGAGAAUGCCGGUAUGAGUAGCGAGAGGCAUGCGAGAAACAUGCCCGUCGAAAGCCCAAGGUUUCCUGGGGAAGGUUCAUCCGCCCAGGGUAAGUCGGGGCCUAAGCCGAGGACGGAAGUCGUAGGCGAUGGACAGCAGGUGUAGAUUCCUGCACUACCGAUGGAAUGAAGCAGUGACACAGAAGGAUAACUCGAGCAGGGUGAUGGUCAACCCUGUGCAAGCAUCAAGGUUGGGUUGUAGUGAAGUACGCAACCCUAUAAGCUGAGAUGUGAUGCGGACCGAAAUUUCAGUAGGGAAGCGAGUGAGUUCACGCUGGCGAGAAAAGCUGCUAGUACAUCCAAAGGUACCCGUACCGGAAACCGACGCAGGUGGGCGAGGAGAGAAUCCUGAGACGAACGGGAGAACCCUUGUUAAGGAACUCGGCAAAAUGACCCCGUAACUUCGGGAUAAGGGGUGCCUGCGAGAGCAGGCCGCAGAGAAUAGUCACAAGCGACUGUUUAGCAAAAACACAGGUAUCUGCGAAAGCGAGAGCUGACGUAUAGGUGCUGACACCUGCCCGGUGCUGGAAGGUUAAGGGAACAUGUUAGAGCAAUCGAAGCAUCGAACCGAAGCCCCAGUAAACGGCGGCCGUAACUAUAACGGUCCUAAGGUAGCGAAAUUCCUUGUCGGGUAAGUUCCGACCCGCACGAAUGGUGUAACGACUUGUGAGCUGUCUCAACAGGGGGCCCGGUGAAAUUGAAGUAUGGGUGAAGAUGCCCAUUACCCGCGACUGGACGGAGAGACCCCGUAGAGCUUUACUGCAGCCUGAUAUUGAGUUUCGGUAACUGAUGCACAGGAUAGGUGGGAGUCUGAGAGACACGGGUUUCGGCUCGUGUGGAGACGCUGUUGGGAUACCACUCUUCGGUUACUGAAAUUCUAACAUAGCUCUGUGAAACCAGAGGAUGGACAGUGUCAGGUGGACAGUUUGACUGGGGCGGUCGCCUCCGAAAGAGUAACGGAGGCGCCCAAAGGUACCCUCAGAAUGGAUGGAAACCAUUCGAAGAGCGCAAAGGCAGAAGGGUGCCUGACUGCGAGAGUGACAACUCGAUCAGAGACGAAAGUCGGGCUUAGUGAUCCGGCGGUAUUGAGUGGAAAAGCCGUCGCUUAACGGAUAAAAGCUACCUCGGGGAUAACAGGCUGAUCUCCCCCAAGAGUCCACAUCGACGGGGAGGUUUGGCACCUCGAUGUCGGCUCGUCGCAUCCUGGGGCUGAAGCAGGUCCCAAGGGUUUGGCUGUUCGCCAAUUAAAGCGGCACGCGAGCUGGGUUCAGAACGUCGUGAGACAGUUCGGUCCCUAUCCAUCGUGGGCGUAGGAGUCAUGAAGGGAGCUGUUCCUAGUACGAGAGGACCGGAAUGGACGCACCACUGGUGCAACUGUUGUCGUGCCAACGGCAUAGCAGGGAAGCGAAGUGCGGAUGGGAUAAACGCUGAAGGCAUCUAAGCGUGAAGCCC